RNAcentral lists this long non-coding RNA (910 nucleotides) under Anser brachyrhynchus (Pink-footed goose). Its description in RNAcentral is "lncRNA (ENSABRG00000003801.1)". Lineage: Eukaryota; Metazoa; Chordata; Aves; Anseriformes; Anatidae. The record is from RNAcentral.
CGUGAGGCUCCAGGAGCAGAAGGUGGAGCUCCCCCACGGCAGCCAGCCUGGCGGACGCGCAAGCAGCAGUGACUGUCCUUGACUUCUCUACUAUGAGCGCUUCACUCCCGGCAGUCAGGGGAGGUUGUCUUAGUCUCAGGGGCUGAAUGGAGUGGUCCUGAAGGUGAGCGCUGCUGUGAUACUUCCUCCAGGAAAAAAGGCGUAUUAUAGAAAAACUCAGCACAUCAUCGUCCUCUCGAGGAAAAAUUAUUUUGUCACUCAGCCAUUAGGCUACCGUGUGCAAGAGCAGUGUGCUGCUCUGCCAGCCCUUUGGGGCAUUUCUCUUAGUGCGAGGAGGAGAGCUGCAGACGUGCUGAAACCGCAAGAUCGAUUAUAAAGCCGUGUGUGUCCUGGGAACAUCUGGAAGCCUUUUUGCAGCGUGAACCUAGGUGUCAUAUUCAUUUGGAACGGAGUAUCUUCCAAGGUGUGUGCAGGUGGAGGUGAGCACACAGCAGCAGGGGAAGCGGCGGCUGGCGUGGCUUCCCAGGGAUGCAGCGCGGUUGCUGAAGACAAGACCUCCAGCCCCUCCAGCUCCAGGGACCCACAGCUCUCAGAGGCAAAACCUGCCAAGCCCCGAGCCCUCCCAUGCAGCGGGCUGCUGAGUCCAAAGAAGAAUGAAGCUUUUGUGGCGGUCGCUCCAUCAGUGCCACGUCCCUGCUGCCCACCGCACAGCCAUGUGCUAGCCCGUCAGGAUCUCAAAACGAAACCACCUCUCCUCUCUGUGAUCCCGUCUCCUUUCUUCGCUGCCUUUCGGUGCGUUUUGAACAGUUUUUGAGCCUGGUCAGGUGAUGCAGGCAUCCCUGCUGCUCCUGCCCGCUUGCAGCGCCUGUGAAUGAGCUCUCCUGGAGCAGUGUUUCCUGCCUGGCAGUGA